UUGCUGCCCUUCCUCUUCCCCAGGGCACAGAAACACUCUCCACUGCGGCCAAGGAUUGCAGGAGAGGUGGCAUCAGUGAUUCAAGACUUCUUUUCCUACCUCUUCAGUGUUUCUUUCAGUGAUCUGAAGUUAAAGCCAGGGGGAAUAUCACAGAAGUGAAGUGCAAUUCUCAUCAUGUCAUAUCAAGAGCACACACUAACAAACAACAUGACUUAUUGCUGAAUAUUGAACUUGAUCACCUGGCUGAGGUGAAUAAACUGACACUGGAACAUUCAGGAACUUCUUCAUGGUCAUGGUCACCCAGCUAGAGUGUGGAAGCCAGGCUGUCUGAUUCCAGGAUCUGUGUUCUUAAUCCUAUACAUAAGGAAGCCAUAAUGAGUCAACCACUAUUUUUAAGAUUCACAGAUGUUCGGGUCCAAUUCACCAGAAUGCCAAGUUAUACAGGGUUGUGGAAUCAAAAACUGCAAUUAGUAAUAAAAUGUGAUGCUAUCUAGAAUGUUUUUCAUACAUAUAUAUGCUUCUUGGGACUCUCCCUGCAGGUUAAGAGAAAUUGAGAAACGAUGGAGAAUUUAAGUGUUUUAGAUCCUACAUACAUUAGACUUAAAAAUAGUAACUAUGUACAUGAGUAUUUGUAAACUUAAGAAUGAACAUAACAUGAACCAUGUGGCACCUAUAAAAUGAAAAUAAAAUACCUACAAACCAAAUGAGAGCAAUAAAAGAAGCUUUAAGGACUUUCA
Molecule: long non-coding RNA, 737 nt
Filed under: Homo sapiens (human)
Lineage: Eukaryota; Metazoa; Chordata; Mammalia; Primates; Hominidae
Description: novel transcript
Source: RNAcentral